RNAcentral lists this ribosomal RNA (495 nucleotides) under uncultured bacterium. Its description in RNAcentral is "partial 16S ribosomal RNA". It matches the Rfam family "Bacterial small subunit ribosomal RNA", at positions 28 to 507 of the family's 1533-position model. The record is from RNAcentral.
GACGAACGCUGGCGGCGUGCCUAAUACAUGCCAGUAGAACGCUGAAGGAGGAGCUUGCUCUUCUGGAUGAGUUGCGAACGGGUGAGUAACGCGUAGGUAACCUGCCUGGUAGCGGGGGAUAACUAUUGGAAACGAUAGCUAAUACCGCAUAACAGUAGAUGUUGCAUGACAUUUGCUUAAAAGGUGCAAUUGCACCACUACCAGAUGGACCUGCGUUGUAUUAGCUAGUUGGUGGGGUAACGGCUCACCAAGGCGACGAUACAUAGCCGACCUGAGAGGGUGAUCGGCCACACUGGGACUGAGACACGGCCCAGACUCCUACGGGAGGCAGCAGUAGGGAAUCUUCGGCAAUGGACGGAAGUCUGACCGAGCAACGCCGCGGGAGUGAAGAAGGGUUUCGGAUCGUAAAGCUCUGUUGUAAGAGAAGAACGAGUGUGAGAGUGGAAAGUUCACACUGUGACGGUAUCUUACCAGAAAGGGACGGCUAACUACGUG